AUUGAACGCUGGCGGCAUGCUUUACACAUGCAAGUCGAACGGCAGCACGGGGGCAGCCCUGGUGGCGAGUGGCGAACGGGUGAGUAAUACAUCGGAACGUGCCCGGUCGUGGGGGAUAACGUAGCGAAAGUUACGCUAAUACCGCAUACGAUCUGAGGAUGAAAGCGGGGGACCUUCGGGCCUCGCGCGAUCGGAUCGGCCGAUGUCAGAUUAGGUAGUUGGUGGGGUAAAGGCCUACCAAGCCGACGAUCCGUAGCUGGUCUGAGAGGACGACCAGCCACACUGGGACUGAGACACGGCCCAGACUCCUACGGGAGGCAGCAGUGGGGAAUUUUGGACAAUGGGCGCAAGCCUGAUCCAGCCAUGCCGCGUGCAGGACGAAGGCCUUCGGGUUGUAAACUGCUUUUGUACGGAACGAAAAGGAUCUGGCUAAUACCUGGGGCUCAUGACGGUACCGGAAGAAUAAGCACCGGCUAACUACGUG
Molecule: ribosomal RNA, 484 nt
Filed under: uncultured bacterium
Lineage: Bacteria
Description: partial 16S ribosomal RNA
Rfam family: Bacterial small subunit ribosomal RNA
Source: RNAcentral